Molecule: ribosomal RNA, 473 nt
Filed under: Eulaema cingulata
Lineage: Eukaryota; Metazoa; Arthropoda; Insecta; Hymenoptera; Apidae
Description: partial 16S ribosomal RNA
Source: RNAcentral
CAAUGAAUUAAUUUUAAAUGGCNGCAGUAUAUUGACGGUACAAAGGUAGCAUAAUAAAUUGCCUUUUAAUUGGAGAAUANAAUGAAAGAAUUAUUGAAUUAUAAACGGUCYCUAUUAUAUUUAAUAAAAUUAAAUUUUUAGUUAAAAUGCUAAAAUUAAAUUAUGGGACAAUAAGACCCUAUAAAAUUUUAUAUUAUUAAUAAAAUGGGAAUACAAUUUUAUUUUUAUUUUAUUAAUAACAUUUUAUUGGGAAGAUUAUAAAAUUAAUUUAACUUUAUUAAAAUAAAAACUUUGAUUUACGAAANUUUGGAUGAUAGCAUUAUAUUAAUUAAUAAAUYAAAUUACCUUAGGGAUAACAGCGUAAUAUCUUUUAUUAGAUCUUAUUAAUAAAGGUGUUUGCGACCUCGAUGUUGAAUUAAGAUAAAUUUUAAAUGAAGAAAUUUAAAAAUUAAGUCUGYUCGACUUUUAAAAUC